Molecule: ribosomal RNA, 254 nt
Filed under: uncultured bacterium
Lineage: Bacteria
Description: partial 16S ribosomal RNA
Rfam family: Bacterial small subunit ribosomal RNA
Source: RNAcentral
UACGAAGGGGGCUAGCGUUGCUCGGAUUUACUGGGCGUAAAGGGCGCGUAGGCGGACAGUUAAGUCGGGGGGUGAAAGCCCGGGGCUCAACCUCGGAAUUGCCUUCGAUACUGGCUGUCUUGAGUACGGGAGAGGUGUGUGGAACUCCGAGUGUAGAGGUGAAAUUCGUAGAUAUUCGGAAGAACACCAGUGGCGAAGGCGACACACUGGCCCGUUACUGACGCUGAGGCGCGAAAGCGUGGGGAGCAAACAGG